Long non-coding RNA from Cyanistes caeruleus (blue tit), 3109 nucleotides. NCBI's taxonomy places the organism in Eukaryota, Metazoa, Chordata, Aves, Passeriformes, Paridae. The record is from Ensembl.
CGCCUCCCGCGCACGCGCGGGGAGAGCGAGGUUCGCCGGCCCCCCGCCUGCGCUUUCUCGCCGGUGUUUCGGACGCGCGGGGGGGGCGAUCCUUGCCACGGGCCUGGCCCCGGCCUCAGAUUUGGGUUUGAGUUCGGGUUUUUCGGGGUUCUCACGGCCGGCGGCGGCGGGCAGGCACAGGGNUGCUGGGGACAGGGACAGUCACCAGUGCAGGCCUGCACUCACCCUGCAGCACCUCCACAGCCCCAGCUGAGCCCUGGCCUGGCUGGGGCUGUGUGGGCAUUGCCAGGCUGGGGCUGUGUGGGCAUUGCCAGGCUGGGGCUGUGUGGGCAUUGCCUGGCCUGGGCUGUGUGGGCAUUGCCUGGCCUGGGCUGUGUGGGCAUUGCCAGGCUGGGGCUGUGUGGGCAUUGCCAGGCUGGGGCUGUGUGGGCAUUGUCUGGCUGGGGCUGUGUGGGCAUUGUCUGGCUGGGGCUGUGUAGGCAUUGCCAGGCUGGGGCUGUGUGGACAUUGUCUGGCCUGGCUGGGGCUGUGUGGGCACUGCCCAGCCUGGCUGGGGCUCCUCAGCAGCUCUGGAGGGGCAGGGCUGUGGGCACAAGGGCAAAGAAGGAUGUUCUGCUGUUGCAAGGAAUGAUCAUCAAAUUGUGUCCAAUAAUUUGUAUUCCUAAGACUGUUUUCUGUGAAAUUCAGCAAUCCAGCUCUCCACAGGAUAAUGCAGUGUGAAGCACAUGGAAAAUCAUUUUGUUUUUAGGUGCCACUCAGUUUACCUGAUUCCCAUGGAGCUCCUGCCAAAUGCUCUGGAGCUGUUCAAUCCUUGCCAAAUCGUGGCUCUAGUCCUGAAGGGAGGCUGUGUCUCAAAGUGUGCCCUGGCUUGGGCACACUUGGAGGGGAGCCCUGCAGGGCUGGGAGCCUCAGUCCAGCGUGGAAAAUGCCCAGCAAAACCCUGGAGCAGGCCCUGGAAAUGAGCUGGGAGUGCUGCUGUGCCAGAGCAUUGCAGAGAGAUGCUCCUCUCUCUCUCUGUUCCAGGAGAGGUGCCCCUUUCUAGAUAUCUCCAGUAUAUACCUAAACCUCUUCCCAGUUUACUACAGGUGAAUUUUGAAAUCUGUAGUUAAAUACUUCAAAUAUAAAAAGAUACUUUAGACAAGUUCAGCAACAAUUUUGACUUUCUAAGUUCAUUGCAUUCUGCUUAGCACUACCAGCUGUAUGAAAAAAAAGACUUUUUCUGCCAAGGAAAUAUAUGUAAUCAAUAUUUGUGUUGUACAGCAAUCAUCAAAAUCCAUGGGUGUUGCCAGAAAUACACCUCAGAAUUUAAUGAGAUCUGUCAAGGAAAUGAAAUUCAGCACUGAGUUGCCCAAAGGAAACCAGAGCCUACCACCAGGUUUUAUGUGCUUGCCUCUCCUCAGCUCCGGAGCAGAGGCAUAACAAGGUCCAUAUUUCCCUCUCCUGUUUUGAAUGUUUUUCCCUUGUCCAAGGCAGCUUUCCCAGGGACUGGCAGGGAGAUGGGGCCCUGUUGGGAGUGCUGACUGCUCACCCACGCUGGGAUCCAAAUGCCCUGGCUCCCUGCUGCCCACCCUUGGCAGAGCAGACACCACAAGGCUGCACUUGCCUCGUGGGGCUGGAGUUUUGGGGUGACCUUUGGUUUGCAAACCACACAGAGGAAAUCCCACAUUGCCCUGGUGGGACACGCCUGUGGGUCCCAAGGGGAGCACACCCAGCACAUCUCAGAAAGCUCUGGCCAUGGGCUGUGUGUGAGGAUAGAUCAGGUUCUCUGCUCUGACCUUUAUCCCCAUCAAGGGAUCCAUGAGAGGGCACUCAGUGUUCCUGGUAAUUACAGAUGCUCCACUUACUCACUGGCUGAGGUGUGGGACAUCAAAACAUGGUGAACAAAUGUCCCAAAUCAUCUUUUCCCAUGCAGUCAGGAUUUCUGGGUGGAAAGGAGCAGCAUGGCCACUCAUCUGUGGCUGUAGUGGUGUUAUUCCAGGAGAUACUCUAGCCUAAAGCCAGGAGGAGGAAUGAUGACAGCUAAAUGGGGCAGAGGAAAAUGUUUGUUUGUUGGAGGGAGUGGGAAUGGCUGGAGGAAGCAAAGCAAGCAUGGAAUUCUGAUGCUAGAUUUUAUCAAUUCGUAAAGUUUAAUUACUUAUACUUGUGGUACCUCUGAAGAGAAAGGGAAUCCAGGUUAAUCUUCACAAGAUAUGCAAUAGAAAUUAUUUAUUAAAAUAAGGCCCAUUACUGUGAUUAUCAGAUACAUUUUUAAUUAAAUCUAAAGUUGUGUCAGUAGAAAUUUUUACUUCUAUGAUCUCAAAAUAUUUGGGCUUGUUCAUCUUUCUAAGCUUCUCUUCCAUAAAGAUCAUGAACUUGGCUUAAUUAGAAGGAGUAGUUAUAAUGUCAGAGCAAAUUAAUUUCAGUCAACCAAAGGGGCCCUUUGAGGAUGCCAGUCCCCACCUGUAGCUGAGAAAUCCCGGCUCUGGCGCUGAGCGAGCUCUCAUUAAAUGGGAAUGAGAUUUCCAUGGAUCCAUGGCAGGAGCAGCCCGGGAUCGGCACAGGGACCGCGACCUCACAGCAGGACAGCGCACCAGGUUAAUUCCCAACACGUUUCCCAGCCUCUGCUUGACUUUAAAGAGGGGUUGGGAGCUCUGGAAGCAGGUUUGUAUGCAGGGCCUCUCCCAGGGAGUUGCACUGUUGGCUCUCAGGGAUGUCUCUGUGAUAUAUUCAGUUUGCAAGCAGAAAAGAUUUCAGCUUUUUAGCUACUCUUUCUUAGCUUUAGGUACUCUUCUUUAGCUACUCUUCUAACGGAGCCAGGACGAAAUUCUCAGUUGUGUAAACAUAUCAGUUGAUCUGAGUAUUCAUUUUUACAUGAGAUUGUCUUUUAGGUCCCAAGCACAAGAGACUAUAUUUUUCACUCAAUAUUAGCUUUAAAUUUCUGCUUUUGUUGUUUUUUGGUUUUUUUUUUUAAAUCAAAUCCCUUUCUUUUGAUGCUACUGCACUAAUUUUGUAUGUAAAAUAGCAGAGCAAUUUCACAUCCUAAAAUGAAUUUAUUUGCAUAAAAAUAAGCACAGUAACUUUUUUUUAGGUGUUAAAACAUAAAAUAAAAGUAUCAGUUAAUAGUAAAUCA